CAUGACUACAGUGGCGUACGGGUGAGUAACACGUGGAUCAUCUACCUCUUAGUGGGGAAUAACCCUGGGAAACCGGGGCUAAUACCGCAUAAUCCUGGGAAGGGAAAGUCGCAAGACGCUGAGAGAGGAGUCCGCGGCCGAUUAGCUAGUUGGCAGGGUAAUGGCCUACCAAGGCUAUGAUCGGUAGCCGGCCUGAGAGGGCACAC
Molecule: ribosomal RNA, 206 nt
Filed under: uncultured bacterium
Lineage: Bacteria
Description: partial 16S ribosomal RNA
Rfam family: Bacterial small subunit ribosomal RNA
Source: RNAcentral